Non-coding RNA from Stygiomarasmius scandens, 104 nucleotides. NCBI's taxonomy places the organism in Eukaryota, Fungi, Basidiomycota, Agaricomycetes, Agaricales, Campanellaceae. The record is from the annotation of a GenBank genome assembly.
GGCGAGAUGGCCGAGCGGUCUAAGGCGCCAGACUAAGGAUCAGGGUACUCGGUGCCCAAAUCAUCUGGUCCGAAAGGGCGUGGGUUCGAAUCCCACUCUCGUCA